GAUGAACGCUGGCGGCGUGCCUAAUACAUGCAAGUCGAGCGAACAGAUAAGGAGCUUGCUCCUUUGACGUUAGCGGCGGACGGGUGAGUAACACGUGGGUAACCUACCUAUAAGACUGGGAUAACUUCGGGAAACCGGAGCUAAUACCGGAUAACAUUUGGAACCGCAUGGUUCUAAAGUGAAAGAUGGUUUUGCUAUCACUUAUAGAUGGACCCGCGCCGUAUUAGCUAGUUGGUAAGGUAACGGCUUACCAAGGCGACGAUACGUAGCCGACCUGAGAGGGUGAUCGGCCACACUGGAACUGAGACACGGUCCAGACUCCUACGGGAGGCAGCAGUAGGGAAUCUUCCGCAAUGGGCGAAAGCCUGACGGAGCAACGCCGCGUGAGUGAUGAAGGGUUUCGGCUCGUAAAACUCUGUUAUUAGGGAAGAACAAAAGUGUAAGUAACUGUGCACGUCUUGACGGUGCCUAAUCAGAAAGCCACGGCUAACUACGUG
Molecule: ribosomal RNA, 497 nt
Filed under: uncultured bacterium
Lineage: Bacteria
Description: partial 16S ribosomal RNA
Rfam family: Bacterial small subunit ribosomal RNA
Source: RNAcentral